RNAcentral lists this ribosomal RNA (239 nucleotides) under uncultured bacterium. Its description in RNAcentral is "partial 16S ribosomal RNA". It matches the Rfam family "Bacterial small subunit ribosomal RNA", at positions 118 to 347 of the family's 1533-position model. The record is from RNAcentral.
UGAGGAACAUGACCUUCGGCGGGGAUAGCCGGCCCAACGGCCGGGUAAUACCGCGUACGACCACAUGGGGACAUCCCUGAGUGGUGAAAGCAGCAAUGCGCCGAUGGAGUGCCUCGCGGCCUAUCAGCUAGUUGGUGUGGGUAACGGCCCACCAAGGCGACGACGGGUAGCCGGCCUGAGAGGGUGACCGGCCACACUGGGACUGAGACACGGCCCAGACUCCUACGGGAGCAGNAGGU